ACUUCAGCGGCGCCGGCCCCUCGGUGGUUUCCGCCUCGGUACCGCUUCCUCGGGGGAGCAGCUACCUGGGCGGCAGCUGUGCGGUCUCUGAGUAGCCCGCUGCGGGGGCUGGGCGGUUUCCGGCCAAUCCACGCCUCUCCCCCGCGCAAGGGGGCCACCCCAGCCUCACCGGGACCAUCGAGCCCAGAUCUACGGGGAGUCACACUCAAAGUCUUCCCCCGUCUUUCAACCCCACCCGACUUCUCUUCCUUGUUCCAGUCCUCCACUCUUCCCUGCCGGAAACGGCGCCCCUUUCUCCUACAGUUCCGCCCGCCAGUCUGGACUCUGGUCUCCCCUCGUGCCCUAAAGUGACACGAAGGACCCCUUCUUGUUUUCCGCGGCCCCUCCUCCCCGCACGCAGGGAGACUGUUGGAGGGGGUGGGGUGGAGCCCAGGGAAGAAGAGAAAGGAAGGCAACUGGAUUGGAUCAGCAGCUGCCAUGGAAACUGGAGCUGUAGUAUUGUCAUGAACCGAGGAGGUUGUGCCCCCCACGGAGGCCCCGCUGGGUUAUCCGAAGGAGACCGAGUCGCUCCCUUCUUGGAGAACUCCAUUCUCGGAUGAGUCUGCCGCGCUUGGGAACUCGCCACUCUGUCUCUCGGGUCGGGGAGGAAAGGGUUGGGGGAAAUAGGAUUAAAAACAAAACCAUCCCUAGAUCCUGGCGCGAAGUUCCGAUGGAAGGCGUCUGGGGGGCGGGGGGGGUGGGGGUGAUUGUCAUUAGGACACAUCUUUUUGAAUGUCUGUGUAUUUUGUGUAAAACAGAAAUAAGGAAUGGGGCCAGGCGUGAUGAGUGUGUGAGAAGCCGCUGGGGAAGUCAUCCUACUGGUUUUGAAGGCACUUGACAUAAAUUCUAUUUUCACCGCGCACCGCGGAGCGGUGUAAGCAGCUCUCCAAAGCCCUUUGGGAUGUGUGCCACCCUCCAGACGCGUCCUCCUCGCUGGGUGGUUCACACGAGGGGUUGGAUGGGCUCAUGCUGCGUGAGCCCCUGCUUCCCGCUGCCUCCCAGGCGGGCUGGACGGGCAAGACCCUCCCCUGACGUUGCAUCUGCUAAGAGGCUGGACCAACCCAUGUCUCCUAUUGGGACCAUCAGGUGUACGUUGGGAGGAAAUGAGAGCACGGGCUGCUUGGAAAUCGGUCCCAAAGGCAGAUGAUGGUGAACGAGACGCAAGCUGAGCCCUGCCCGCUCCGGCCGCCCGCGCCCGGGCCGUGGUGCGUGACGCGGCGCGAGGGUGGCCGCCGCUGCACAAUGGCCCCGGCACCCGCCCCGCGCCGCCGCCCGCCCGCCCGCGGGGAAGGGAGCCACCUAGUGAGCGGUUGCUCUCCUCUCCGGUUCUUCCAUCCGGAGAGCCCAGAGAUGGAGAUUUCCUAGGACUACCUAUUACCCCAAACACCCUGCGCUUCUCUCCUGAAAUGUAUUGGCUAGAAUUUAAAAUGAUUUUAGCCAGAAUAAAACUUUUGUGAUGUAAAAUAAUCACCCCUUUGGUAAUCAUCAUCAUGAUACCUUCUUUGUGGCCAGUAUCUCCAGGGAACGGCACAUGAGCAUGUAUUGUGACACUCCUGAUAAGCAACCUAGGAAAAUAUUACUCUCUCCUGAUUUUGGAAAUAAGGAGACUAGGAUAAAAAAAAAAAAAAGAAAAAAAAAAAAAAAAAA
Molecule: long non-coding RNA, 1686 nt
Organism: Myotis myotis
Lineage: Eukaryota; Metazoa; Chordata; Mammalia; Chiroptera; Vespertilionidae
Exons: 2
Source: RefSeq, a predicted model, not a curated record